This 1343-nucleotide ribosomal RNA is filed under the name uncultured bacterium. Its description in RNAcentral is "16S ribosomal RNA". It matches the Rfam family "Bacterial small subunit ribosomal RNA", at positions 28 to 1378 of the family's 1533-position model. The record is from RNAcentral.
GACGAACGCUGGCGGCGUGCUUAACACAUGCAAGUCGAACGGAAAGGCCCUGCUUUUGUGGGGCGCUCGAGUGGCGAACGGGUGAGUAACACGUGAGUAACCUGCCCUUGACUUUGGGAUAACUUCAGGAAACUGGGGCUAAUACCGGAUAGGAGCUCCUGCUGCAUGGUGGGGGUUGGAAAGUUUCGGCGGUUGGGGAUGGACUCGCGGCUUAUCAGCUUGUUGGUGGGGUAGUGGCUUACCAAGGCUUUGACGGGUAGCCGGCCUGAGAGGGUGACCGGCCACAUUGGGACUGAGAUACGGCCCAGACUCCUACGGGAGGCAGCAGUGGGGAAUAUUGCACAAUGGGCGGAAGCCUGAUGCAGCAACGCCGCGUGCGGGAUGACGGCCUUCGGGUUGUAAACCGCUUUCGCCUGUGACGAAGCGUGAGUGACGGUAAUGGGUAAAGAAGCACCGGCUAACUACGUGCCAGCAGCCGCGGUGAUACGUAGGGUGCGAGCGUUGUCCGGAUUUAUUGGGCGUAAAGGGCUCGUAGGUGGUUGAUCGCGUCGGAAGUGUAAUCUUGGGGCUUAACCCUGAGCGUGCUUUCGAUACGGGUUGACUUGAGGAAGGUAGGGGAGAAUGGAAUUCCUGGUGGAGCGGUGGAAUGCGCAGAUAUCAGGAGGAACACCAGUGGCGAAGGCGGUUCUCUGGGCCUUUCCUGACGCUGAGGAGCGAAAGCGUGGGGAGCGAACAGGCUUAGAUACCCUGGUAGUCCACGCUGUAAACGGUGGGUACUAGGUGUGGGGUCCAUUCCACGGGUUCCGUGCCGUAGCUAGCGCUUUAAGUACCCCGCCUGGGGAGUACGGCCGCAAGGCUAAAACUCAAAGGAAUUGACGGGGCCCCGCACAAGCGGCGGAGCAUGCGGAUUAAUUCGAUGCAACGCGUAGAACCUUACCUGGGUUUGACAUGGAUCGGGAGUGCUCAGAGAUGGGUGUGCCUCUUUUGGGGUCGGUUCACAGGUGGUGCAUGGCUGUCGUCAGCUCGUGUCGUGAGAUGUUGGGUUAAGUCCCGCAACGAGCGCAACCCUUGUUCACUGUUGCCAGCACGUUAUGGUGGGGACUCAGUGGAGACCGCCGGGGUCAACUCGGAGGAAGGUGGGGAUGACGUCAAGUCAUCAUGCCCCUUAUGUCCAGGGCUUCACGCAUGCUACAAUGGCUGGUACAGAGAGUGGCGAGCCUGUGAGGGUGAGCGAAUCUCGGAAAGCCGGUCUCAGUUCGGAUUGGGAUCUGCAACUCGACCUCAUGAAGUCGGAGUCGCUAGUAAUCGCAGAUCAGCAACGCUGCGGUGAAUACGUUCCCGGG